UACAGAGGUGGCAAGCGUUGUUCGGAAUUACUGGGCGUAAAGGGCGCGUAGGCGGUCUUGUAAGUCCCGUGUGAAAUCCCUCGGCUCAACUGAGGAACUGCACGGGAAACUGCUUGGCUUGAGUUCGGGAGAGGGAAGCGGAAUUCCGGGUGUAGCGGUGGAAUGCGCAGAUAUCAGGAGGAACACCGAUGGCGAAGGCAGUUCUCUGGGCCGUAACUGACGCUGAGGAGCGAAAGCGUGGGGAGCGAACAGG
This 253-nucleotide ribosomal RNA is filed under the name uncultured bacterium. RNAcentral describes it as "partial 16S ribosomal RNA". It matches the Rfam family "Bacterial small subunit ribosomal RNA", at positions 524 to 776 of the family's 1533-position model. The record is from RNAcentral.